Molecule: small RNA, 32 nt
Filed under: Bombyx mori (domestic silkworm)
Lineage: Eukaryota; Metazoa; Arthropoda; Insecta; Lepidoptera; Bombycidae
Description: ovarian small RNA-15080
Source: RNAcentral
GAAAUAAACGGAUGCGAUGACGAUCGGCUGGU